GUAGGGAAUAUUGGACAAUGGGCGAAAGCCUGAUCCAGCCAAGCCGCGUGAUAGAUGAAGGCCCUCUGGGUUGUAAAUAUCUUUUAUCUGGGAAGAAACUCCUCUAUUCUUAGAGGCCUGACGGUACCAGAGGAAUAAGCACCGGCUAACUCCGUGCCAGCAGCCGCGGUAAUACGGAGGGUGCAAGCGUUAUCCGGAUUCACUGGGUUUAAAGGGUGCGUAGGCGGGUUGAUAAGUCAGUGGUGAAAGCUCCGGGCUUAACUUGGAAACUGCCAUUGAUACUGUCAGUCUUGAAUGUCGUAGAGGUAAGCGGAAUGUUGCAUGUAGCGGUGAAAUGCUUAGAUAUGUUACAGAACACCAAUUGCGAAGGCAGCUUACUAUGCGAUAAUUGACGCUGAGGCACGAAAGCGUGGGGAGCAAACAGGAUUAGAAACCCCGGUAGUCC
Molecule: ribosomal RNA, 445 nt
Filed under: uncultured bacterium
Lineage: Bacteria
Description: partial 16S ribosomal RNA
Rfam family: Bacterial small subunit ribosomal RNA
Source: RNAcentral